This 578-nucleotide ribosomal RNA is filed under the name Streptomyces atrovirens. RNAcentral's name for it is "bacterial SSU rRNA". It matches the Rfam family "Bacterial small subunit ribosomal RNA", at positions 434 to 1022 of the family's 1533-position model. The record is from RNAcentral. Lineage: Bacteria; Bacillati; Actinomycetota; Actinomycetes; Kitasatosporales; Streptomycetaceae.
UUCAGCAGGGAAGAAGCGCAAGUGACGGUACCUGCAGAAGAAGCGCCGGCUAACUACGUGCCAGCAGCCGCGGUAAUACGUAGGGCGCGAGCGUUGUCCGGAAUUAUUGGGCGUAAAGAGCUCGUAGGCGGCCUGUCGCGUCAAUUGUGAAAGCCCGGGGCUCAACCCCGGGUCUGCAGUCGAUACGGGCAGGCUAGAGUUCGGUAGGGGAGAUCGGAAUUCCUGGUGUAGCGGUGAAAUGCGCAGAUAUCAGGAGGAACACCGGUGGCGAAGGCGGAUCUCUGGGCCGACACUGACGCUGAGGAGCGAAAGCGUGGGGAGCGAACAGGAUUAGAUACCCUGGUAGUCCACGCCGUAAACGGUGGGCACUAGGUGUGGGCGACAUUCCACGUCGUCCGCGCCGCAGCUAACGCAUUAAGUGCCCCGCCUGGGGAGUACGGCCGCAAGGCUAAAACUCAAAGGAAUUGACGGGGGCCCGCACAAGCAGCGGAGCAUGUGGCUUAAUUCGACGCAACGCGAAGAACCUUACCAAGGCUUGACAUACACCGGAAACACCUGGAGACAGGUGCCCCCUUGUG